AUAUGAUAUUUGGUGGAAUGAUAU
This 24-nucleotide non-coding RNA is filed under the name Arabidopsis thaliana (thale cress). Lineage: Eukaryota; Viridiplantae; Streptophyta; Magnoliopsida; Brassicales; Brassicaceae. The record is from RNAcentral.